CCAAUAGCGUAUAUUAAAGUUGUUGCAGUUAAAAAGCUCGUAGUUGAAUUUCGGGAUCAAUGUUUCGGUCAUGCCGUUGGUAUGUACUGAUAUUAUUGGUUUCUCACCUUCUAAAGAACCGUAAUGCCAUUAAUUUGGUGUCACGGGGAAUUAGGACUGUUACCUUGAAAAAAUUAGAGUGUUUAAAGCAGGCUCACGCUUGAAUACAUUAGCAUGGAAUAAUGAAAUAGGACGUUCGAUCUUAUUUUGUUGGUUUCUAAGAUUGACGUAAUGAUUAAUAGGGUUAGUUGGGGGCAUUAGUAUUCAAUUGUCAGAGGUGAAAUUCUUGGAUUUAUUGAAGACUAACUACUGCGAAAGCAUUUGCCAAGGAUGUUUUCAUUAAUCAAGAACGAAAGUUAGGGGAUCGAAGACGAUCAGAUACCGUCGUAGUCUUAACCAUAAACUAUGCCGACUAGGGAUCGGAUGAUGUUAAUUUUUUAAUGACUCAUUCGGCGCCUUACG
Molecule: ribosomal RNA, 501 nt
Filed under: uncultured Glomus
Lineage: Eukaryota; Fungi; Glomeromycota; Glomeromycetes; Glomerales; Glomeraceae
Description: SSU rRNA
Rfam family: Eukaryotic small subunit ribosomal RNA
Source: RNAcentral